UGUAAUAACUCUCUGAGCUUAGUGGUGGGCAUUACUUUGUCCCUUUACAGAUAAUACAACUGAAGGACUCAAAGCCUAUAAAUAAAUGGCAGAACCAGAAUUCAAAGGAGAAUGGACUACCUCUUGGCCUGUGUACCUUUGACAGCCUCAUGGUGCCUACUGAGAAAUGUGCCCUGAAUCACAAAUAUAAGACAGGACAUUUUGGAGGCUAUGUGUCUGUCUCCAUUUUUAUCUUUUCAAACAGAGAGAAGGCUAAGAUUAAAUCAUUCAUCAAAUAAUGUUAAUAUUUCCAAUUCUCCCAAAGCAAAUUCUACCUGGAAUUCAUUCUUUAAGGAGGACAGAGAAAUGAAAUAGCUGUGUGGAUUUUUCAUUUACUUCAUGGAUUUGGAGUCCCAGGAAUGCAGAAGCUGGAAAGAAGAGGGCGCUUGAAAGGUCUGUUCUGAUGAAGUCCUAGACCUCACUAGCAACUGGGGCUGAGUUGGAUGCACAUCACUGUCUAAUGGUCUAAAAACUAGGCCUCGCCUGUGCACAAGUGAGCAAUGUAGAAACAAAAUUGUAAGGUCAUCUUUUAAAAUUCAGCUUUGAUUGAAAAGAUGUAAUAAAGAUUUGAAUGUUGGCU
This is a long non-coding RNA of Gorilla gorilla gorilla (western lowland gorilla), 619 nucleotides long. RefSeq lists it as uncharacterized. The transcript is spliced from 2 exons. NCBI's taxonomy places the organism in Eukaryota, Metazoa, Chordata, Mammalia, Primates, Hominidae. The record is from RefSeq and is a predicted model, not a curated record.